UUGCUUCUUAUCAAUUCGAGUGGCAAACGGGUGAGUAACGCGUAAGCAACCUGCCCUUUAGAUGGGGACAACAGCUGGAAACGGCUGCUAAUACCGCAUAAGACCACACUAUCGCAUGAUAGAGGGGUCAAAGAAAUAUCGCUUAUGGAUGGGCCCGCGUCUGAUUAGCCAGUUGGCAGGGUAACGGCCCACCAAGCCAACGAUGGGUAGCCGAGCUGAGAGGCUGAUCGGCCACACUGGAACUGAGACACGGUCCAGACUCC
Molecule: ribosomal RNA, 263 nt
Filed under: uncultured bacterium
Lineage: Bacteria
Description: partial 16S ribosomal RNA
Rfam family: Bacterial small subunit ribosomal RNA
Source: RNAcentral